Molecule: ribosomal RNA, 1403 nt
Filed under: Klebsiella pneumoniae subsp. rhinoscleromatis
Lineage: Bacteria; Pseudomonadati; Pseudomonadota; Gammaproteobacteria; Enterobacterales; Enterobacteriaceae
Description: bacterial SSU rRNA
Rfam family: Bacterial small subunit ribosomal RNA
Source: RNAcentral
UGCAAGUCGAGCGGUAGCACAGAGAGCUUGCUCUCGGGUGACGAGCGGCGGACGGGUGAGUAAUGUCUGGGAAACUGCCUGAUGGAGGGGGAUAACUACUGGAAACGGUAGCUAAUACCGCAUAACGUCGCAAGACCAAAGUGGGGGACCUUCGGGCCUCAUGCCAUCAGAUGUGCCCAGAUGGGAUUAGCUAGUAGGUGGGGUAACGGCUCACCUAGGCGACGAUCCCUAGCUGGUCUGAGAGGAUGACCAGCCACACUGGAACUGAGACACGGUCCAGACUCCUACGGGAGGCAGCAGUGGGGAAUAUUGCACAAUGGGCGCAAGCCUGAUGCAGCCAUGCCGCGUGUGUGAAGAAGGCCUUCGGGUUGUAAAGCACUUUCAGCGGGGAGGAAGGCGAUAAGGUUAAUAACCUUGGCGAUUGACGUUACCCGCAGAAGAAGCACCGGCUAACUCCGUGCCAGCAGCCGCGGUAAUACGGAGGGUGCAAGCGUUAAUCGGAAUUACUGGGCGUAAAGCGCACGCAGGCGGUCUGUCAAGUCGGAUGUGAAAUCCCCGGGCUCAACCUGGGAACUGCAUUCGAAACUGGCAGGCUAGAGUCUUGUAGAGGGGGGUAGAAUUCCAGGUGUAGCGGUGAAAUGCGUAGAGAUCUGGAGGAAUACCGGUGGCGAAGGCGGCCCCCUGGACAAAGACUGACGCUCAGGUGCGAAAGCGUGGGGAGCAAACAGGAUUAGAUACCCUGGUAGUCCACGCCGUAAACGAUGUCGAUUUGGAGGUUGUGCCCUUGAGGCGUGGCUUCCGGAGCUAACGCGUUAAAUCGACCGCCUGGGGAGUACGGCCGCAAGGUUAAAACUCAAAUGAAUUGACGGGGGCCCGCACAAGCGGUGGAGCAUGUGGUUUAAUUCGAUGCAACGCGAAGAACCUUACCUGGUCUUGACAUCCACAGAACUUAGCAGAGAUGGAUUGGUGCCUUCGGGAACUGUGAGACAGGUGCUGCAUGGCUGUCGUCAGCUCGUGUUGUGAAAUGUUGGGUUAAGUCCCGCAACGAGCGCAACCCUUAUCCUUUGUUGCCAGCGGUUAGGCCGGGAACUCAAAGGAGACUGCCAGUGAUAAACUGGAGGAAGGUGGGGAUGACGUCAAGUCAUCAUGGCCCUUACGACCAGGGCUACACACGUGCUACAAUGGCAUAUACAAAGAGAAGCGACCUCGCGAGAGCAAGCGGACCUCAUAAAGUAUGUCGUAGUCCGGAUUGGAGUCUGCAACUCGACUCCAUGAAGUCGGAAUCGCUAGUAAUCGUAGAUCAGAAUGCUACGGUGAAUACGUUCCCGGGCCUUGUACACACCGCCCGUCACACCAUGGGAGUGGGUUGCAAAAGAAGUAGGUAGCUUAACCUUCGGGAGGGC